GCCUCACUGGCUCAGGCAGUGGAGCAUGUGACUCUUGAUCUCGGGAUUGUGGGUUCAAGCCCCACAUUGGGUG
This 73-nucleotide transfer RNA is filed under the name Ailuropoda melanoleuca (giant panda). It matches the Rfam family "tRNA". From Rfam's summary of the family: Transfer RNA (tRNA) molecules are approximately 80 nucleotides in length. Their secondary structure includes four short double-helical elements and three loops (D, anti-codon, and T loops). Further hydrogen bonds mediate the characteristic L-shaped molecular structure. tRNAs have two regions of fundamental functional importance: the anti-codon, which is responsible for specific mRNA codon recognition, and the 3' end, to which the tRNAs corresponding amino acid is attached (by aminoacyl-tRNA synthetases). tRNAs cope with the degeneracy of the genetic code in two manners: having more than one tRNA (with a specific anti-codon) for a particular amino acid; and 'wobble' base-pairing, i.e. permitting non-standard base-pairing at the 3rd anti-codon position. Lineage: Eukaryota; Metazoa; Chordata; Mammalia; Carnivora; Ursidae. The record is from Rfam by way of RNAcentral.